GCGCCGGUAGUCUAACGGUAGGACUGAAGCUUCCCAAGCUUCCAACGCGGGUUCAACUCCCGCCCGGCGCA
Molecule: transfer RNA, 71 nt
Filed under: Euryarchaeota archaeon RBG_19FT_COMBO_69_17
Lineage: Archaea; Methanobacteriati; Methanobacteriota
Description: tRNA-Gly
Rfam family: tRNA
About the family: Transfer RNA (tRNA) molecules are approximately 80 nucleotides in length. Their secondary structure includes four short double-helical elements and three loops (D, anti-codon, and T loops). Further hydrogen bonds mediate the characteristic L-shaped molecular structure. tRNAs have two regions of fundamental functional importance: the anti-codon, which is responsible for specific mRNA codon recognition, and the 3' end, to which the tRNAs corresponding amino acid is attached (by aminoacyl-tRNA synthetases). tRNAs cope with the degeneracy of the genetic code in two manners: having more than one tRNA (with a specific anti-codon) for a particular amino acid; and 'wobble' base-pairing, i.e. permitting non-standard base-pairing at the 3rd anti-codon position.
Source: RNAcentral